Eriocheir sinensis (Chinese mitten crab) is the source of this 3826-nucleotide RNA transcript. It is a transcript of the gene named aldose reductase-related protein 2-like, with no coding region annotated. The transcript has 11 exons. NCBI's taxonomy places the organism in Eukaryota, Metazoa, Arthropoda, Malacostraca, Decapoda, Varunidae. The record is from RefSeq and is a predicted model, not a curated record.
UACAGAAGGAGAAAAAUGUCAAAAUGAAGAAGUCUUAGGUAGGAUCGGGCGCCUCCCUGCACUCCUUCCUUCCCUUAUGACGCCCAGACGGGAGACGCCCACGAGGUUCAAAUUUCCGUCCCUUCAGCUGCUGUGGGCGUCCUAUUUUCCUCUUUUCUGGGUCGAGAGUAAUAUUAACAAGCAGCCAUGCAGAUUUUCCGCCAGGGGGUUAUAACAAACACCAGCCAGAUGAGGCGAAAACACGGAAGAAAGUCCCGCAGAAAGAAAGUGGAAAUGGUGUAUGUGUGGUUCCCAACACUGGGCAUCAACAUAAUCAAGAACCACAAGAAUCUGCUGCGGCAGCUGAAGGAGCUCCGGCAGGCAGGUGUCCAGCACAUCCAGCUCCCCCUCUGUGGGCAGCUCUCCACCACAGUGCUGCAGAAUGUGUGCGACUUCUUCAAGAAAAAGAAGUGUGGAAUGAAGUUCUUCAUCUCUGCAUCAGUGGUGGUACCAGAGGAGCCCAUGGUAGUGGUGCAGCGUCUGGAGGAGCUCUACCUACACCUGGGUCGCCCCCUGGACCUGCUGCUGCUGGAGAACCCUGUGGGCCUCAAGGGGUCAAACUACACAGUUCUUUAUAAGAAGCCUUUGGAUGGGGCUUGGCCUCCAGUCAGAAGUCUCUUUGAAACUGGCAGUGAUGGGCAGCUUGUCAUUCCUCCCAACAUCAUGCAGAACCUGAGUGCCAUCUGGAGGCUCUUGGAAACGGAGGUGGUUAAGGGAGGCCUUGCCAUGCAUCUCGGGCUUCGCAACUUUACACUCAUUCAGAUCCAGGAGCUGCUGAAUGUGGUAAAGCUCAAGCCCAUAAUAGUCCAGGCUGAGCUCAAUUUAUAUAUCCAGCAAAAAAAGCUGAGGAACUUUUGCACCAACAAUAACAUAACUGUGUGUGCCAUCUACCCCUUUGGGAGCCCCUACAGCAGCAGCAGAAACCUGCCUUCACCAACACAACACAGGUCGGUGAAGAGCAUUGCCCACAAGUUGGAUACCUCCACCAAGGCCGUGCUCCUGAGGUACCUCCUGGUGUAUGACAUCCCCAUUGUGAUAGACAACACCAUGGCCAAGGGUGCUGCUCAUCUUCUCCAGACUGUGUAUGAAAUCAAGCUGGAUGAGAAGCACAUUGAGAAACUUUCCACCAUCCAGCAGAACAAACCUGAAAGAGUCCUCACAGAGUUUGAGUUGUGGCAGAAAAAGUUCCCAUUGUGGCCAUUCUAUCUUGAGAAGAGUGAGAGAGAGGAAGGCACAAGAAAAGAAAGCCAAGCUUGGAAAGCAAAGCAAAGCUGGCCAGCUACACCCUUAGAACUAGAUUCAGAUAUUGGGAAGUGGCUGUAGGAGAGUCAUGCUAGCAGUAGUGUACAAAGAGGAAAGUAGGACAGAAAGUAUUAAUAAUUCUCCCUAUAUCUGGACAAAACUUGAUUGUGGGAAAAGUAAGAGAAUACCUGGGGAAUACAGGAUAAGAACUCCCUGCAGUGGGGGAAUUCCCUGAACUGAUAGGUGAAAGGUAUUUUUGUCUUUUUUAUUUCUUUUACAUGAAAGUCCCAGCUAAAGAUCUGUGAUAUACAGAAAAGGUUAGAUUACACAAAUAUAUUUUGUUAGACUUUAGUAUAAAUGGAUUAUAUAUUUUCAUAUCAAAGGACGUCUCAACUUGAAUGUCACAGUGCAGAAUAUUUGUUGAGGAGAAACAUGACUUAUUGGCCCUUGAGUUUUCUGGCUAAAAUUAACAUCAUUGGCUGAGACAGGACAAGAUGGCUACCCAAAAGUGAAAGGAUGACUUUUUUUAUUAUUAUUUGAAAGGAAAACUUUUUGAUGUAAAACUGGAAAACUUGUUGAAUAUUGAUUGACUGACACUAAUUAGUUUUUUGCAUUAUUAGUAACCCAUGACAGUUAAGUAAAGAUAUGUUUUUUGUUAUUGUUUUUCUCAGUCAGGAAGUUUUGGUGUAUUGAUUUAUUUGUGUAUGAGAGAGAGAGAGAGAGAGAGAGAGAGAGAGAGAGAGAGAGAGAGAGAGGUGGGGGGUGGGAGGAAGGAUAUGGGGUAGGUUAUUUACUUCCUGACCAUUCAACAUCUUUUCCUAUUUCUUAUUUUCCUGUUUCCUACUUUCCUGUUUUGUGAUGGUGAAAUGACCGCACCUAGAGUUACCUGGAGAGAGAGAGAGAGAGAGAGAGAGAGAGAGAGAGAGAGAGAGAGAGAGAGAGAGAGAGUCACCCACCCACCAAGGCCGUCUAUCUAUCCACCUAUUCGCCUAAUAAAUGAAGAGGAUAAAGAACGAGAAAAAAAAAUAGACGCCUUCCCACUAGAGGGUCGUAGAGUAGCAAGAAGCUAUUUAAUAUUAAUGGCCACUUGUAUAUUGACCCGUAAAAGGCCUAAUUAAGUAGUAUAUGUGAUAAGCUUAUCCGUGUGUGUGUGUGUGUGUGUGUGUCUGGUUAGCCUACAAGUUGGUCUUUAUGUAUAGUUAAACAGCAGUAUAUAGUUGUUGUGUCGUAUAAUUCACCAUCUUUUCCAUUAUUUAUUAGUCCGGGAAAGUUAUAAUAAGGAUAGGGAGGUAGGGAGGCACAUUCUGUAGCUACACCCGGCCUCAGUGCUCAUCUCCGGCGCUCUUUCACCUCCUCCUUCACCUCUUCUGCUAUUCUUCCUUCCAUUACGUAAACAAGCGUAAUAUACCUAUCCUCUUCCACUUAUUUUUUUUCCUCCUCCUCCUCCUCCUCCUCCUCCUAUCACUUAAAGGUCAGCGAAAUACUCAAGACGUUUGCUUCACGGUUGGUUGGUUAAGGUCAAUUUCUCCGUGACCACGCGUGUUUGUCUAAGGCCACGCUGCAUUACAUAUUACCACAUCCUCCUUUCCUUCCCCCAUUGUUCCAGUAUAGGCCCCCAAAGUUACAGACAGGGCUAGGAAGAAGUGGUCAAGUGGCUAUAGGUGGUUAUAUUCGCCUACUGUGUUAAAUAUAUCGGUCUAUCAAGGGCCUCAAAGCAUUAUUAUUAUCCAAUCCUCCUUUCCUUUCCCUUAUUGCUUCAGGAUAUCCCUCAAAGUUAUAGACAGGCCUGGAGGAGGUCGUUUUAGGUAGUUAUAUAUACGCCUCCUGUGUUAAAUAUCUAUCUAUCAAAGCCCACGAAGCAUUAUUAUUAUCCAAUCCUCCUUUCCUUUCCCUUAUUGCUUUAGGAUAUCCCACAAAGUUAUAGACAGGCCUGGAGGAGGUCGUUUUAGGUGGUUAUAUAUACGCCUCCUGUGUUAAUUAUCUGUCUAUCAAACCCCACGAAGCAUUAUUACCAUAUCCUCCUUUCCUUCCCCCAUUGUUCCAGUAUACGCCCCCGAAGUUACAGACAGACUAGGAGGAAGUUGUUAUAGCUAGGUGGUUGUAUAAUUAUGCGCCUCCUGUACGUGUUAAAUAUGUAUCAAAGCACACGAAGCAUUAUUACUACCACAUCCUCCUUUCCUUUUCCUUGUUGCACCAGUAUUGGCCCCUCAAAGUUACAGACAGGGCUAGGAAGAAUUAAGUGGCUAUGGGUGGUUAAUUAUAUUCGCCUCCUGUGUUGAAUAUCUAUCUAUCAGCCCCACGAGACGUUAUUACCACAUCCUUUCCUUUUCCUUAUUGCACCAGGAUAUCCCCCAGAAAGUAACAGACUGGAGUGGCUUAUAGGAAUAUGGAGUUAUAUUAUAUAGGUUUUAUUUGCCUGCUCGUAUGUCUUUAUAUAAGUUCACGAAGCAUACCACAUCCUCCUUUGCUUUCCCUCAUUGCACCAGGAUAUCCCCCAGAGAGUAACAGACUGGAGUGGCUUAUAGGAAUAGGGGGUUAUAUUAUA